RNAcentral lists this ribosomal RNA (407 nucleotides) under uncultured bacterium. Its description in RNAcentral is "partial 16S ribosomal RNA". It matches the Rfam family "Bacterial small subunit ribosomal RNA", at positions 30 to 526 of the family's 1533-position model. The record is from RNAcentral.
AUUGAACGCUGGCGGCAGGCCUAACACAUGCAAGUCGAGCGGAGCGGCGGACGGGUGAGUAAUGCCUAGGAAUCUGCCUGGUAGUGGGGGAUAACGUCCGGAAACGGGCGCUAAUACCGCAUACUAUCAGAUGAGCCUAGGUCGGAUUAGCUAGUUGGUGUGGUAAAGGCCUACCAAGGCGACGCUCCGUAACUGGUUUGCGAGGAUGGUCAGUCACACUGGAACGGAGACACGGUCCAGACUCAUACGGGAGGCAGCAGUGGGGAAUAGUGGACAAUGGGCGAAAGCCUGAUCCAGCCCUGCCGCGUGUGUGGAGAAGGUAUGCGUAUUGUAAAGCACUUUAAGUUGGGAGGCGUUACCAACAGAAUAAGCACCGGCUAACUUCGUGCCAGCAGCCGCGGUAAUUC